RNAcentral lists this long non-coding RNA (443 nucleotides) under Rattus norvegicus (Norway rat). RNAcentral describes it as "long non-coding RNA NONRATT009921". Lineage: Eukaryota; Metazoa; Chordata; Mammalia; Rodentia; Muridae. The record is from RNAcentral.
UUCUGUGUGGAAACUGUGGUGUCAGCAGCAGCCAGAGCACAUGCUCCUGGCCCAGGGCUUCUCAGGCUCACUCUCACCUCAUGUAUUUUGUCUCUGCUCGUAGGAGAGUCAUCGUCAUUAAACCCGAGCUCUGCAUGGAGGACUGGAGCAGAGGUGGCGCUCAGUGCCAUGGCUGUGGCUCCAUGAUGAAUUGUUGGGGUUAGCUUUGAAAUGACGUGCUGUUAAGAUAGCCAUUCUCCAAACUAUUUCUGUUCAGUUUUGAUAGAAUUAAGCAGCUAGUGAAAGCUUCCAUUUUACUGUUUAGCUUUGAACAUUUUCUGCUUAAUUCUGAAUAUGACUUUAAGCCCUUCCAGAAUGUCCUUGUGCUGUUUUUACUGAAUUAAUUGCCAAAAGAUCGGGUGCCCUAGUUAACACAUUGUGUGUUUCACCGCUGUAAGCGGUUC